RNAcentral lists this long non-coding RNA (2239 nucleotides) under Anas platyrhynchos platyrhynchos (common mallard). Its description in RNAcentral is "lncRNA (ENSAPLG00000029616.1)". Lineage: Eukaryota; Metazoa; Chordata; Aves; Anseriformes; Anatidae. The record is from RNAcentral.
GCCUAGGCUCACCUAGUAAGCCUGCCACCUGAAUACAGCACACCUCCUCAAUGCUUGUUAAAAAUGUCUCACUACCACUAAAAGAUGCUGGAGAUACUAUGUGGUAGAAUGCCUUACUGCUUACAUAUGUUCCAUUUUCCAACAGCUAAUCACCUUUCCAGACCCCGUCCUUACUGGUAGAAGGAGAAAAUUGAUAUCCUGAGCAGGAGGUGGCUAGAGGCUUUCUAGGAUUGGUAGGGAAGUGUUUAAGGAGAUCCUCAGGAAAUGGAGUUUGCCUGGGUCUGACUGUGAGCUAGGGUAAAUUCUGUGUUACUAACCAUUUUAACUAUUAACUGUUUUAUCCAUCCAAGAUAUCAGGCUCAAACUGUCCUCAUAGCACUCAUUUUUCAGUGAUGCAUUUAUAAAUUCGUUGGAAUAAGUGGAGUGAGAAUGUUUUUGCAAAUCUGAGCAAGCAGAAGGGGUUUAGGGGGCGAGCAAUAUGCCUAAAUGGUGACAGUCUUUUUUAAAUAAUUGAUUGCUGGGGGGGUAAAAAAGGCGAAGUUUAAACAUCUGAAAUGUGAAAUCUGUUGGAGUGAGAUACUUUGAAAAGACUUCAAAAUGAGCACCAGGACGUGGCAGUUUUCUGGAGCACUGGAGGGUUCCACAGGAGCUGCCCCCAGAUGCCUUCUGUAUUGCCUGGACCUGGUGCUUCCAGCUGUCAGCUCUGGAGCUGAUAUAGCAGCCCUGUGUUUGAGCAGCUGCAGCCCUGGGAAAGUUGUCUUACAGAGUGAAAGGACACCCAGGCUUCUGGCAGAACUGCCAGGUGGCCUCACAGGAGUUUCCAGGGAGACCAAAGUUUAGGACACAAUCUCAGGAUGAGUUCAGAGUGUUCACUUCAUCAAGCCGUGAUAAUUGACAGGGUUGAUAAACUAGUAAGGAGAAUUAGUGAACAAAUAAGGAUAAGAUGAACUAGAUGAGUGUACUGUGUUUGUGAAAAAUUGAAUGAAAACAUAUAGAAAACAGCUCUUCUUCAGUUGCCUAAAAACAAAAUUUUCAAUUAUAAAUGUAAAAUAUAAACCAACAUUUAGUAAACUUUCCUAUCUCACCAGAAUACUACUAUAUUCAUUAGGAUGUGUAUUAAGAAUAUGUCUGUCUUAAUUUUGCUGUGUUGUACAAGCUUCAGAUCACAUUCCCUGAAUCCCACAGGAAAGCACUGAUUCUGUAGUUCAGAUCACCAUAGUCUGUACCACUGCUUCUGCUAUGGAUAUUUACAUAGCUCAAAGCAAAAGGCCUUGAACAAAGAAAGUAACAACACUUCUAUAAUCCACAAAGUUUGCAGUAGUUAAGGGGCAUGAAGUUCAUCUAGCUUUUUUAGAAUGAAGACAUAUUUCAUUUUAAGAGCUUUCAUCCUAGCAGCAGCUGUGUGAAGCUGGGCACUAUAAUGGUGUAGCCUGUGGACGAAAGAAAGUAACAUUAGGGAUGCCCAUACAUUUGAGUGCUUCAGAAAUUUAUGGGGUAGGUUGGACAAUUUGAAGAUUCAGUAUCUGUAAUGUCUUAUCUUCAGCAGCCCUUCUCUGGGGGAAAGCCUUUUUGUGGAGUUUCUCAUUGUCUAGGCUAUUCUAACACUGAAUCCUUCCUGAACUCUCUAGUGUGGGCUUGCCAGGGUAUCAAAAGAGGAGACCUAACAUGUUCCUAUAAACAUUGCAGAUUCUUACUUUAUAUGCUCUGGAAUGUUCAGAAUCAUAGCACAGGAAGUUCUGUUUUAUAUCUCUGGAUUAUCUAAGUGUAAAUUCACAAAGAAUAGCUAUGAAUGGGACCCUGGGAAGUCAUUUAGAUCUUUCUGGUCCCUAACACUUCACAAAAGGAAUGCAAGUCCACAUUUUUGUUAUUUUGUCUUUUUUUUUUUUUUUUCCCCCUCUAAAUAGUUACUGUUGCAGACCUGUACAUAUAUAUUUAGUUUCUAAGUGACUUGGCAUACAUUUUUCUGAAUUAUGAAAAUAGUGGCUGUAUCAUGUGAAAAUCUGCAGGAAAUCUGUCUUAGAUCCAGUAGUGUUGAGUAAUUUUGUUAAGGAACUGAAUGAUGGAAUAGAUGGUACACUUAUCAAGCUUAAGGCAACAAAAAGAUGGUUGGCACUGUCCUAUAUCUCGAAGCCUGAGUUAAAAUUCAAACUUGUCCUUCAUUUUUUAAUGUCUUUUCUCUCAUUUGUCAAUUCCUUAAGUAAGAAUAUUUUUAAUAAAAAUUAAAAAAUGAAGAACUUCA